ACGGAAGGCAGCAGUGAGGAAUAUUGGUCAAUGGACGGAAGUCUGAACCAGCCAAGUCGCGUGCAGGAAGACGGUUCUAUGGAUUGUAAACUUCUUUUGCUCGAGGGUAAAGUGAGCCACGUGUGGCUUAUUGCAAGUAUCGAGUGAAUAAGCAUCGGCUAACUCCGUGCCAGCAGCCGCGGUAAUACGGGGGAUGCGAGCGUUAUCCGGAUUUAUUGGGUUUAAAGGGUGCGUAGGCGGGAUGUUAAGUCAGCGGUGAAAGGUUGCGGCUCAACCGUAAAAUUGCCGUUGAAACUGGCGUUCUUGAGUGUAAACGAGGUAGGCGGAAUGUAACGUGUAGCGGUGAAAUGCUUAGAUAUGUUACAGAACCCCGAUUGCGAAGGCAGCUUACCAGCAUACAACUGACGCUGAGGCACGAAAGCGUGGGUAUCAAACAGGAUUAGAUACCCUGGUA
RNAcentral lists this ribosomal RNA (454 nucleotides) under uncultured Porphyromonadaceae bacterium. RNAcentral's name for it is "partial 16S ribosomal RNA". It matches the Rfam family "Bacterial small subunit ribosomal RNA", at positions 341 to 792 of the family's 1533-position model. The record is from RNAcentral. Lineage: Bacteria; Pseudomonadati; Bacteroidota; Bacteroidia; Bacteroidales; Porphyromonadaceae.